This 369-nucleotide long non-coding RNA is filed under the name Phoenix dactylifera (date palm). Its description in RNAcentral is "long non-coding RNA (PDAC_LNC008356)". The record is from RNAcentral. Lineage: Eukaryota; Viridiplantae; Streptophyta; Magnoliopsida; Arecales; Arecaceae.
AUCAAAAAUCUUUUAAUAAUCCUUUUUCGGGUACUUACAACCCUGGAUGGAAGAACCAUCCAAAUUUUAGGUGGAGGAAUGACCAACCUCAAUAAGUAUAUAACCCAACUCCUCCACCUCCGCAACCUCAUUAUGCACACGCACCCCCUCAAAAACCCAGUCUCGAAGAAACUUUGCAAUCUUUCAUGCAAGGUCAAGCUAAAAUCAAUGAUGAAUUAAGAAAUCAACUGACAACGCUGACCAUUGCUUUAAGUGCUCAAGAUACCAGCUCAACCACAACCUAACCCUCAAGUCUACGGCGGUAGCAAUGCAUCAUCUUCAACUUCGCAUAAAGAACAAGCGAAGAGUAUAAUAACUUUGCGAAGUGGA